GGAAAUGCGGCUCAAGGGUAGAGUGCUUGCCUAGCAUGCAUGAAACCCUAGGUUCGAUUCCUCAGUACCA
This 70-nucleotide transfer RNA is filed under the name Dipodomys ordii (Ord's kangaroo rat). It matches the Rfam family "tRNA". Rfam says of the family: Transfer RNA (tRNA) molecules are approximately 80 nucleotides in length. Their secondary structure includes four short double-helical elements and three loops (D, anti-codon, and T loops). Lineage: Eukaryota; Metazoa; Chordata; Mammalia; Rodentia; Heteromyidae. The record is from Rfam by way of RNAcentral.